RNAcentral lists this ribosomal RNA (443 nucleotides) under uncultured bacterium. RNAcentral describes it as "bacterial SSU rRNA". It matches the Rfam family "Bacterial small subunit ribosomal RNA", at positions 28 to 504 of the family's 1533-position model. The record is from RNAcentral.
GACGAACGCUGGCGGCAUGCCUAACACAUGCAAGUCUAGGGGUAGCAAUACCACUGGCGCACGGGUGAGUAACACGUAGGUUAUCUGCCCCCAUCACAGACAUAACCCCGGGAAACCGGGGCUAAUAUCUGAUGAGGUCGCGAGAUCAAAGCUUCGGCGGAUGGGGAUGAGCCUGCGGCUGAUUAGCUAGUUGGUGAGGUAAUGGCUCACCAAGGCGACGAUCAGUAGCCGGUCUGAGAGGACGAACAGCCACACUGGAACUGAGACACGGUCCAGACUCCUACGGGAGGCAGCAGUGAGGAAUAUUGGUCAAUGGGAGCAAUCCUGAACCAGCAAUGCCGCGUGUGGGAUGACAGGGCUUCGCCUUGUAACCACUGUCGGACGGGACGAAAGAGGCCUCGGCCUCUGGGACGGUACCGUCAAAGGAAGGGUCGGCUAACUAC